RNAcentral lists this ribosomal RNA (347 nucleotides) under uncultured bacterium. RNAcentral's name for it is "bacterial SSU rRNA". It matches the Rfam family "Bacterial small subunit ribosomal RNA", at positions 8 to 334 of the family's 1533-position model. The record is from RNAcentral.
AGGGUUUGAUUAUGGCUCAGGACGAACGCUGGCGGCGUGCCUAACACAUGCAAGUCGAACGGAGUUAUUUAAAUAGAACCCUUCGGGGUGACGUUUUAAUAACUUAGUGGCGGACGGGUGAGUAACGCGUGAGUAACCUGCCUUUCAGAGGGGGAUAACGUCCUGAAAAGGACGCUAAUACCGCAUGAUAUAUUUGUGCCGCAUGGUAUGGAUAUCAAAGGAGCAAUCCGCUGGAAGAUGGACUCGCGUCCGAUUAGCUAGUUGGAGGGGUAACGGCCCACCAAGGCGACGAUCGGUAGCCGGACUGAGAGGUUGAACGGCCACAUUGGGACUGAGACACGGCCCAG